UGCGUAGGUGGUGAGGUAAGUUCGAUGUGAAAUCUCCGGGCUCAACCCGGAAAAGGCAUUGAAUACUAUCUUGCUCGAGGUUUGGAGGGGGGACUGGAAUUCUCGGUGUAGCAGUGAAAUGCGUAGAUAUCGAGAGGAACACCGGUGGCGAAGGCGAGUCCCUGGACAACACCUGACACUGAGGCACGAAAGCUAGGGGAGCAAACA
Molecule: ribosomal RNA, 207 nt
Filed under: uncultured Verrucomicrobiota bacterium
Lineage: Bacteria; Pseudomonadati; Verrucomicrobiota
Description: uncultured Verrucomicrobia bacterium partial 16S ribosomal RNA
Rfam family: Bacterial small subunit ribosomal RNA
Source: RNAcentral